RNAcentral lists this ribosomal RNA (445 nucleotides) under uncultured bacterium. RNAcentral describes it as "bacterial SSU rRNA". It matches the Rfam family "Bacterial small subunit ribosomal RNA", at positions 335 to 796 of the family's 1533-position model. The record is from RNAcentral.
UUCCCUACGGGCGGCUGCAGUGAGGAAUAUUGCACAAUGGGCGAAAGCCUGAUGCAGCAACGCCGCGUGAGGGACGAAGGCCUUCGGGUUGUAAACCUCUUUUCUGGGGGAAGAGAUAGGACGGUACCUCAGGAAUAAGUCUCGGCUAACUACGUGCCAGCAGCCGCGGUAAAACGUAGGAGGCGAGCGUUAUCCGGAUUUACUGGGCGUAAAGCGCACGCAGGCGGUUCCGUUAGUCGGACGUGAAAGCUCCUGGCUUAACUGGGAGAGGCCGUUCGAUACUGCGGGACUUGAGGUUGGGAGAGGGGUGUGGAAUUCCCGGUGUAGUGGUGGAAUGCGUAGAUAUCGGGAGGAACACCUGUGGCGAAAGCGGCACCCUGGCCCACACCUGACGCUGAGGUGCGAAAGCGUGGGUAGCAAACAGGAUUAGAUACCCGAGUAGUCC